UACGUAGGGGGCAAGCGUUGUCCGGAUUUAUUGGGCGUAAAGAGCUCGUAGGCGGUUUGUCGCGUCGACUGUGAAAACUGGGGGCUUAACUCUCAGCUUGCAGUUGAUACGGGCAGACUUGAGUUCGGUAGGGGAGACUGGAAUUCCUGGUGUAGCGGUGAAAUGCGCAGAUAUCAGGAGGAACACCGGUGGCGAAGGCGGGUCUCUGGGCCGAUACUGACGCUGAGGAGCGAAAGCGUGGGGAGCGAACAGG
This 253-nucleotide ribosomal RNA is filed under the name uncultured bacterium. RNAcentral's name for it is "partial 16S ribosomal RNA". It matches the Rfam family "Bacterial small subunit ribosomal RNA", at positions 524 to 776 of the family's 1533-position model. The record is from RNAcentral.